GCCCGAAUCUAGCCCAACCCCACACAACUAAUUAACACCUAAAAAUUUACUCAAUCACUGAACUAAAGCAUUAUCUAAACUUAGUAUAGGCGAUAGAAAAGACACCUACUGGCGCAAUAGAGAACCGUACCGUAAGGGAAAGAUGAAAUAGUAAUGAAAGACCACAAGCAAUAAAUAGCAAAGAUAAACCCUUGUACCUUUUGCAUCAUGAUUUAGCAAGAACAACCAAGCAGAAUGAGCUUAAGCUUGCCUUCCCGAAACCUAAGCGAGCUACUUACAGGCAGCUAUUUUGAGCGAACCCGUCUCUGUUGCAAAAGAGUGGGAUGACCUGUUAGUAGAGGUGAAAAGCCAACCGAGCUAGGUGAUAGCUGGUUGCCCGUGAAAUGAAUCUAAGUUCUACCUUAGCUUAUCUCCCCUGUCAGUGAACUUCCAACCGAUCACCCUCUAACGUGGAAAGUUAAGAGCAAUUUAAAGGAGGUACAGCUCCUUUAAAAAAGAAUACAACCUCCCUUAGCGGAUAAAAUCCAUUUUUUCCCCAUGUAGGCCUUAAAGCAGCCAUCAAUAAAGAAUGCGUCAAAGCUCGCUUCUCUAAAAAUCUAAAAACAUUAUGACUCCCUUACCCCCAACGGGCUAACCUAUUCCCAUAGGAGAAUUAAUGCUAGAAUAAGUAACUCGAAACUCACUUCUCUCAAGCGCAAGCUUACAUUUUUCCAAAUUAUUAACAGACCAACUAAUACUACAACCUCAACAAGCCUAAGUAUUAACCUCUCUGUUACCCCAACACUUGGAGCGCCUAAUUAAGAAAGAUUAAAAUCUGUAAAAGGAACUAGGCAAACCCAGGGCCCGACUGUUUACCAAAAACAUAGCCUUCAGCUAACCAAGUAUUGAAGGUGAUGCCUGCCCAGUGACACACGUUCAACGGCCGCGGUAUCCUAACCGUGCGAAGGUAGCGCAAUCAAUUGUCUCAUAAAUCGAGACUUGUAUGAAUGGCUAAACGAGGUCCUAACUGUCUCUUGCAGAUAAUCAGUGAAAUUGAUCUUCCUGUGCAAAAGCAGGAAUAAACCCAUAAGACGAGAAGACCCUGUGGAACUUUAAAAUCAGAGGCCACCCCACAAGCAAUACUAAGCCUACUAGGCCUACUACCUCUAAACGCUGGCCCAUAUUUUUCGGUUGGGGCGACCUUGGAGAAAAACAAAUCCUCCAAAAAUAAGACCAUACCUCUUGACCAAGAGCUACACCUCCACGUGCUAAUAGCAACCAGACCCAAUACAAUUGAUUAAUGAACCAAGCUACCCCAGGGAUAACAGCGCAAUCUCCUUCAAGAGCCCAUAUCGACAAGGAGGUUUACGGCCUCGAUGUUGGAUCAGGACAUCCUAAUGGUGCAGCCGCUAUUAAGGGUUCGUUUGUUCAACGAUUAAUAGUCCUACGUGAUCUGAGUUCAGACCGGAGCGAUCCAGGUCGGUUUCUAUCUAUGAUUAACUUCCCCUAGUACGAAAGGACCGGGAAAGUGAGGCCAAUACCACAGGCACGCCUCCCCCCAAGUAAUGAACCCAACUUAAUUACUAAAAGGACACCCACCCUUCAACCCCAGAUAAGGGUCA
This 1601-nucleotide ribosomal RNA is filed under the name Butorides striata (green-backed heron). RNAcentral's name for it is "16S ribosomal RNA". The stretch from base 84 to 1522 matches the Rfam family "Bacterial large subunit ribosomal RNA". Lineage: Eukaryota; Metazoa; Chordata; Aves; Pelecaniformes; Ardeidae. The record is from RNAcentral.